This 788-nucleotide ribosomal RNA is filed under the name uncultured archaeon. RNAcentral's name for it is "bacterial SSU rRNA". It matches the Rfam family "Archaeal small subunit ribosomal RNA", at positions 85 to 876 of the family's 1478-position model. The record is from RNAcentral.
ACGGCUCAGUAACACGUGGUCAACAUACCCAGAGGACGUGGAUAACCUCGGGAAACUGAGGAUAAACCGCGAUAGACCAUAAUGUCUGGAAUGAUUUAUGGUUCAAAUCUACAUGGCCUCUGGAUUGGACUGCGGCCGAUCAGGCUGUUGGUGAGGUAAUGGCCCACCAAACCUGAAACCGGUACGGGCUCUGAGAGGAGAAGCCCGGAGAUGGGCACUGAGACAAGGGCCCAGGCCCUAUGGGGCGCAGCAGGCGCGAAAUCUUUGCAAUAGGCGAAAGCCUGACAAGGUUACUCUGAGUGAUCUCCGCUAAGGAAAUCUUUUGACACCUCUAAAAAUGGUGUAGAAUAAGGGGUGGGCAAGCCUGGUGUCAGCCGCCGCGGUAAUACCAGCACCCCGAGUGGUCGGGACGAUUAUUGGGCCUAAAGCAUCCGUAGCCGGUUCCUUAAGUCCUCCGUUAAAUCCACCUGCUUAACAGAUGGGCUGCGGAGGAUACUAUAGAGCUAGGAGGCGGGAGAGGCAAGCGGUACUCAGUGGGUAGGGGUAAAAUCCGUUGAUCCAUUGAAGACCACCAGUGGCGAAGGCGGCUUGCCAGAACGCGCUCGACGGUGAGGGAUGAAAGCUGGGGGAGCAAACCGGAUUAGAUACCCGGGUAGUCCCAGCUGUAAACGAUGCAGACUCGGUGAUGAACAGGCUUCGUGCCUGUUCAGUGCCGCAGGGAAGCCGUUAAGUCUGCCGCCUGGGGAGUACGGUCGCAAGACUGAAACUUAAAGGAAUUGGCGGGGGAG